UAUGCAGCUGAAAUUUGCUGAAAGGAUUCGC
RNAcentral lists this non-coding RNA (31 nucleotides) under Homo sapiens (human). The record is from RNAcentral. Lineage: Eukaryota; Metazoa; Chordata; Mammalia; Primates; Hominidae.